Molecule: ribosomal RNA, 1448 nt
Filed under: metagenome
Description: bacterial SSU rRNA
Rfam family: Bacterial small subunit ribosomal RNA
Source: RNAcentral
AGAGUUUGAUCCUGGCUCAGAGCGAACGCUGGCGGCAGGCUUAACACAUGCAAGUCGAGCGGGCAUAGCAAUAUGUCAGCGGCAGACGGGUGAGUAACGCGUGGGAACAUACCUUUUGGUUCGGAACAACACAGGGAAACUUGUGCUAAUACCGGAUAAGCCCUUACGGGGAAAGAUUUAUCGCCGAAAGAUUGGCCCGCGUCUGAUUAGCUAGUUGGUGAGGUAACGGCUCACCAAGGCGACGAUCAGUAGCUGGUCUGAGAGGAUGAUCAGCCACAUUGGGACUGAGACACGGCCCAAACUCCUACGGGAGGCAGCAGUGGGGAAUAUUGGACAAUGGGCGCAAGCCUGAUCCAGCCAUGCCGCGUGAGUGAUGAAGGCCCUAGGGUUGUAAAGCUCUUUUGUGCGGGAAGAUAAUGACGGUACCGCAAGAAUAAGCCCCGGCUAACUUCGUGCCAGCAGCCGCGGUAAUACGAAGGGGGCUAGCGUUGCUCGGAAUCACUGGGCGUAAAGGGUGCGUAGGCGGGUCUUUAAGUCAGGGGUGAAAUCCUGGAGCUCAACUCCAGAACUGCCUUUGAUACUGAGGAUCUUGAGUUCGGGAGAGGUGAGUGGAACUGCGAGUGUAGAGGUGAAAUUCGUAGAUAUUCGCAAGAACACCAGUGGCGAAGGCGGCUCACUGGCCCGAUACUGACGCUGAGGCACGAAAGCGUGGGGAGCAAACAGGAUUAGAUACCCUGGUAGUCCACGCCGUAAACGAUGAAUGCCAGCCGUUAGUGGGUUUACUCACUAGUGGCGCAGCUAACGCUUUAAGCAUUCCGCCUGGGAGUACGGUCGCAAGAUUAAAACUCAAGGGAAUUGACGGGGGCCCGCACAAGCGGUGGAGCAUGUGGUUUAAUUCGACGCAACGCGCAGAACCUUACAAGCCCUUGACAUCCCGGUCGCGGACUCCAGAGAUGGAGUCCUUCAGUUCGGCUGGACCGGAGACAGGUGCUGCAUGGCUGUCGUCAGCUCGCGUCGUGAGAUGUUGGGUUAAGUCCCGCAACGAGCGCAACCCCCGUCCUUAGUUGCUACCAUUUAGUUGAGCACUCUAAGGAGACUGCCGGUGAUAAGCCGCGAGGAAGGUGGGGAUGACGUCAAGUCCUCAUGGCCCUUACGGGCUGGGCUACACACGUGCUACAAUGGCGGUGACAAUGGGACGCUAAGGGGCAACCCUCCGCAAAUCUCAAAAAGCCGUCUCAGUUCGGAUUGGGCUCUGCAACUCGAGCCCAUGAAGUUGGAAUCGCUAGUAAUCGUGGAUCAGCAUGCCACGGUGAAUACGUUCCCGGGCCUUGUACACACCGCCCGUCACACCAUGGGAGUUGGUUUUACCUGAAGACGGUGCGCUAACCCGCAAGGGAGGCAGCCGGCCACGGUAGGGUCGGCGACUGGGGUGAAGUCGUAACAAGGUA